RNAcentral lists this transfer RNA (71 nucleotides) under Loxodonta africana (African savanna elephant). It matches the Rfam family "tRNA". From Rfam's summary of the family: Transfer RNA (tRNA) molecules are approximately 80 nucleotides in length. Their secondary structure includes four short double-helical elements and three loops (D, anti-codon, and T loops). Lineage: Eukaryota; Metazoa; Chordata; Mammalia; Proboscidea; Elephantidae. The record is from Rfam by way of RNAcentral.
GCAGUGGUGGUUCAGUGGCAGAAGUCUCCCCUCCCAUGCAGGAGCCCCGGGUUCAAUUCCUGGCCAGUGCA